This is a long non-coding RNA of Contarinia nasturtii (swede midge), 871 nucleotides long. RefSeq lists it as uncharacterized. The record is from RefSeq and is a predicted model, not a curated record. Lineage: Eukaryota; Metazoa; Arthropoda; Insecta; Diptera; Cecidomyiidae. The transcript has 2 exons.
ACUAACGUGAAACGGUUCCUUCGACUAAACAAAUGAAGUUGCUUUUAUUUUUGGCAUUUUCAUUGCUUGCAAUUCAUCCAGGUUCAGUCAGGCCGACAUUGGCUUGAAACCCGCCUUGCGUACACUGACAACUGAAUUUGACACAAAAGCUAAAAAAAUUGAUUCUUUCAUCGCUUGAAAAGUCAAAUUAAAUGAGGUUCUUUCACUCCCAACUCUCGAAAUUUUAAAUGCUUUAACAAAAACGAAUGUUGAUUGGAUGGAUCAAUUGACCGGUGCAUUCAUAAAUUCAGAUAUAUUGAAGAACAGUUUUCCAGCUGGUGAAAGUAGUAAAUCAACCAAAUCAGUAGAUAAAGAAAUUAAAUCAUUUAAUGAUAAUCAUGAAAAAAUUUGCAAUACUAUUGGUAGACUAUUGUUGGAAACAGUUGAGCCGUCUUUUGAAAAAAUCAAUGGAUUCGAAGACGCGUUCUAGAGACGUAUACAUGAAUAAAUUGAAUUCAUUAAAUAAUCCUACGUCAAAACACACAGGCUCACUUUCUAAGGCGUUCACAAGGCAAAUUUGCGGGUGCGGUCAACAAACUAUUUGAAAAUUUAAAUACAUUUGCUUCUCAAGCGGUUAAGUGUGCAGCGUUCUUAUUAAAAGCGAAAGAUCUAAGCCUCGACUCAAAAUAUAAGCUUUCAAAGGAAGAAUUACAAAAAACAGAACAAGCGUUUGAAGAAGUUUGUGGAGAAAGUAUUGUAUUGGAUUUUUGAAUGAAACCAAGUAGACCAAGUUAAUCCAAUUAGCUGUUUUUGCUUCGAUAAAAUUAACACUUAAGUUUCAUUAUAAAAAUUCAAAUGUAAUGGAUCACAAUAAAAACAAAUGCAGAUAAAA